AAUCAAGCUACUAAGGGCCUACGGUGGAUGCCUUGGCAUCGGAAGACGAUGAAGGACGUGGUUAGCUGCGAUAAGCCUCGGGGAGUUGCUAAACACACUGUGAUCCGGGGAUUUCCGAAUGGGGCAACCCGAUGGGGCAAACCCCCAUCAUCAUGAACUGAAUACAUAGGUUCAUGAAGGUAACGAGGAGAACUGAAACAUCUUAGUAUCCUUAGGAAAAGAAAUCAAAAGAGAUUCCCCAAGUAGUGGCGAGCGAACGGGGAUCAGCCUAAACCCUGUGAAUGCCAAGCCUGCCGGCGUUGUUCAUGGGGGGUCGCGGGACAUGAUCGGAGCUUUCGGCAGAAGGCUCGGGAAGUUACAAAACAAACGCUUAGCCGAACAUCCCUGGAACGGGAGACCAAAGAAGGUGAUAGUCCUGUAAGCGAAAAGUGAUUUGUCUUCCUGGAUCGUGCACCCAAGUACCGCGGGACACGUGGAACCCUGCGGGAAUCUGGGAGGACCACCUUCCAAGGCUAAAUACUAACCGAUGACCGAUAGUGAACUAGUACCGUGAGGGAAAGGUGAAAAGAACCCCGGUUAGGGGAGUGAAAAGUACCUGAAACCGUUGGCCUACAAACUGUAGAAGCCUGAUUCGAUCUAUGAUCGACGGGUGACUGCGUGCCUUUUGCAUAAUGAGUCAGCGAGUUGCUGCAUGCGGCAAGGUUAAGUCGUGAGACGGAGCCGUAGCGAAAGCGAGUCUUAAUAGGGCGAUGAGUCGUAUGUAGCAGACCCGAAACCGGGUGAUCUAUCCAUGGGCAGGGUAAAGCGAGAGUAAAAUCUCGUGGAGGCCCGAACCUUUGCACGUUGAAAAGUGCCUGGAUGACCUGUGGAUAGGGGUGAAAGGCUAAUCAAACCCGGAAAUAGCUGGUUCUCCCCGAAAUAUAUUUAGGUAUAGCCUCGUGAAUGACCAGCGGAGGUAGAGCACUGAAUGGGCUAGGGGUCCCACCAGAUUACCAAACCCAAUCAAACUCCGAAUGCCGCUGAGUUGAAUCACGGGAGUCAGACUACGGGAGAUAAGUUUCGUGGUCGAAAGGGAAACAGCCCUGACCGCCAGCUAAGGUCCCAGAAGCAUGCUAAGUGGGAAAGGAUGUGGAAACGCACAGACAACCAGGAGGUUGGCUUAGAAGCAGCCAUCCUUUAAAGAAAGCGUAAUAGCUCACUGGUCAAGUGGGUCUGCGCCGAAAAUGUAACGGGGCUCAAGCAUGCUACCGAAGCUGCGGGAUGUAUUUAUACAUCGGUAGGGGAGCGUUCCACAAACGGUUGAAGCCGUACCGGAAGGAGCGGUGGACGAAGUGGAAGUGCGUAUGCUGACAUGAGUAGCGAGAAAACAGGUGAAAAACCUGUUCGCCGAAAACCCAAGGUUUCCUGGGGAAGGGUAAUCCGCUCAGGGUUAGUCGGUCCCUAAGCUGAGGCCGAAAGGCGUAAGUGAUGGGAAGCAGGUUAAUAUUCCUGCACCACGUAUGAGGCGUUUGAGCGAUGGAGGGACGCGGAAGGAUAGGCCAUCCGGGUGUUGGACGUCCUGGUUUGCGUCUGUAGGGGGAUGCUUUAGGCAAAUCCGGAGCAUCGUUAACUCCGAGGGACGUGAGGAGAGACUUUGUCUCAUAAACUGGUUGAUUCCAUGCCGCCAAGAAAAGCUUCUAAGCGAGCCGAAUGCGUGACCGUACCGUAAACCGACACAGGUGGGUGAGGUGAGUAUCCUAAGGCGCUCGAGGUAACCAUCGUUAAGGAACUCGGCAACUUGACACCGUAACUUCGGGAGAAGGUGUGCCCCGGUAGGGUGAUGCGACUUGCUCGCUGAGCCCCAGGGGGUUGCAGUGAAAUGGCCGUGGCGACUGUUUACUAAAAACACAGGACUCUGCAAAAUCGCAAGAUGAAGUAUAGGGUCUGACGCCUGCCCGGUGCCGGAAGGUUAAGGGGAGCUGUUAGCGCAAGCGAAGCGGUCAACCGAAGCCCCGGUAAACGGCGGCCGUAACUAUAACGGUCCUAAGGUAGCGAAAUUCCUUGUCGGGUAAGUUCCGACCUGCACGAAUGGCGUAACGAUUGCGGCGGUGUCUCAACGAUGGCCUCGGCGAAAUUGAAGUGACGGUGAAGAUACCGUCUACCCGUGGAAAGACGGAAAGACCCCGUGGACCUUUACUACAACUUGACAGUGUAUUUUGGGGUAUUUUGUGUAGGAUAGGUGGGAGGCUUUGAAGCCGGGACGCUAGUUUCGGUGGAGCCAUCCUUGAAAUACCACCCUGGGUAUCACGAGAUACUAACUCAGGCCCGUUAUCCGGGUCGAGGACACUGUCUGGUGGGUAGUUUGACUGGGGCGGUCGCCUCCUAAAGAGUAACGGAGGCGCGCGAAGGUUCCCUCAGGCUGAUUGGAAACCAGCCGAAGAGUGUAAAGGCAGAAGGGAGCUUGACUGCGAGAGAGACAUCUCGAGCAGGUGGGAAACCAGGUCUUAGUGAUCCGGUGGUUCCGUGUGGAAGGGCCAUCGCUCAACGGAUAAAAGGUACCCCGGGGAUAACAGGCUGAUCUCCCCCAAGAGUUCACAUCGACGGGGAGGUUUGGCACCUCGAUGUCGGCCCAUCGCAUCCUGGGGCUGAAGUCGGUCCCAAGGGUUUGGCUGUUCGCCAAUUAAAGCGGUACGCGAGCUGGGUUUAGAACGUCGUGAGACAGUUCGGUCCCUAUCUUCCACGGGCGCAGGAUAUCUGAGAGGCUCUGUCCCUAGUACGAGAGGACCGGGAUGGACGGACCCCUGGUGUUCCGGUUGUCGCGCCAGCGGCAUAGCCGGGUAGCUACGUCCGGAUCGGAUAACCGCUGAAAGCAUCUAAGCGGGAAGUCGACCUCAAGAUUAGAUAUCCCGGGCUUCGGCCCCUAAAGACCCCUCGAAGAUUACGAGGUUGAUAGGUCGGAUGUGGAAGUGCAGUAAUGCAUGGAGCUUACCGAUACUAAUAGGUCGUGCGGCUUGAUUAC
Ribosomal RNA from Desulfomonile tiedjei DSM 6799, 2998 nucleotides. It matches the Rfam family "Bacterial large subunit ribosomal RNA". The record is from Rfam. NCBI's taxonomy places the organism in Bacteria, Pseudomonadati, Thermodesulfobacteriota, Desulfomonilia, Desulfomonilales, Desulfomonilaceae.